GGGCGGAGGGCAGGGGAGCUGCCAGAUGUUGACAGCUGCCGGCCGCUGCCCGUAGCAGGCGGCAGCAGCUUCCAGGCUGGGGAGCUCCUCCGGCUGCUUGACAUGGUGACGGGAUCGAUUAGAUCGGGAGAGGUCCCGCCUGAUGCAGCGGUGCACCUUUGCAUCUUCCUCAGCAUUUUAGGCACCAUGCAGUGACACUGAACGCUGAGACUAAGGCUGUUUGAAGGGUGCAAGUGGGUCGGAAAGAAUUGAGGGAACAAGAUGCCUGUAAUAAAGCUAUGGCAGAAGAUUUUUCCAACUGUUGGAAACAACGAGGGAAGAAAUAACAAGCAGUUACCGUUUUGCAGCCAGCUACAGACUACAGUGAUGGUGAUGAUGAUGAGGGUAAUCUCCAGGAGAACGUACCACAGAGCAUACGAGAGGUCUGGCUUCAUAAGGGGAGAUGUACCAGAGCAAAAGAUUGCAGUGAUGAACCACCAUCUUCACAACUUUUCUGCCUGGGAUGGCGUUAUGUUUGUACUCGGAGCUGCAGCCGAGCUCUGAAGCACCGGCCAUGCGUGGCAGCAUCUAUGCAGCCCAAAAUGUCACGCUAACUCAUGCAUGCCCAAUGAUGUAAAAAAUAAAACCUGAAAGCAUGAGACAGUCA
This is a long non-coding RNA of Tyto alba (common barn owl), 646 nucleotides long. RefSeq lists it as uncharacterized. The transcript has 2 exons. Lineage: Eukaryota; Metazoa; Chordata; Aves; Strigiformes; Tytonidae. The record is from RefSeq and is a predicted model, not a curated record.